Molecule: transfer RNA, 72 nt
Filed under: Camelus bactrianus (Bactrian camel)
Lineage: Eukaryota; Metazoa; Chordata; Mammalia; Artiodactyla; Camelidae
Also listed under: 1 other name
Rfam family: tRNA
About the family: Transfer RNA (tRNA) molecules are approximately 80 nucleotides in length. Their secondary structure includes four short double-helical elements and three loops (D, anti-codon, and T loops). Further hydrogen bonds mediate the characteristic L-shaped molecular structure. tRNAs have two regions of fundamental functional importance: the anti-codon, which is responsible for specific mRNA codon recognition, and the 3' end, to which the tRNAs corresponding amino acid is attached (by aminoacyl-tRNA synthetases). tRNAs cope with the degeneracy of the genetic code in two manners: having more than one tRNA (with a specific anti-codon) for a particular amino acid; and 'wobble' base-pairing, i.e. permitting non-standard base-pairing at the 3rd anti-codon position.
Source: Rfam by way of RNAcentral
AAGGGUAUAGCUCAGUGGCAGAGUGCAUGCUUAGCAUGCACAAGAUCCUGGGUUCAAUCCCCAGUACCUCCA